AGAAUCAACGCUGGCGGCGUGCCUAACACAUGCAAGUCGCACGAGAAAGGGGACUUCGGUCCUGAGUACAGUGGCGCACGGGUGAGUAACACGUGAAUCAUCUACCUCCGAGUGGGGAAUAACUGAGAGAAAUCUUAGCUAAUACCGCAUAACACUUACGAGUCAAAGCAGCAAUGCGCUUGGAGAGGAGUUCGCGGCAGAUUAGUUAGUUGGCGGGGUAAUGGCCCACCAAGACGAUGAUCUGUA
This 246-nucleotide ribosomal RNA is filed under the name uncultured bacterium. RNAcentral describes it as "partial small subunit ribosomal RNA". It matches the Rfam family "Bacterial small subunit ribosomal RNA", at positions 26 to 285 of the family's 1533-position model. The record is from RNAcentral.